AGAGUUUGAUCAUGGCUCAGGAUGAACGCUAGCUACAGGCUUAACACAUGCAAGUCGAGGGGAAACGACAUCGAAAGCUUGUCUUUUGAUGGGCGUCGACCGGCGCACGGGUGAGUAACGCGUAUCCAACCUGCCCACCACGUUGGGGAUAACCUUGACGAAAGUAAGACUAAUACCCAAUGGUAUCUCUAGAAGACAUCUGAAAGAGAUUAAAGAUUUAUCGGUGAUGGAUGGGGAUGCGUCUGAUUAGCUUGUUGGCGGGGUAACGGCCCACCAAGGCGACGAUCAGUAGGGGUUCUGAGAGGAAGGUCCCCCACAUUGGAACUGAGACACGGUCCAAACUCCUACGGGAGGCAGCA
Molecule: ribosomal RNA, 359 nt
Filed under: uncultured bacterium
Lineage: Bacteria
Description: bacterial SSU rRNA
Rfam family: Bacterial small subunit ribosomal RNA
Source: RNAcentral